Molecule: non-coding RNA, 330 nt
Organism: Vicia faba (fava bean)
Lineage: Eukaryota; Viridiplantae; Streptophyta; Magnoliopsida; Fabales; Fabaceae
Source: the annotation of a GenBank genome assembly
AUGCUUACUCAUAUACAUGCUUUCACCGCUAGGGCUUCUGGCCUCAUUUGUAUCGGAUGGUUAGUUACAUCAAUAGCCGUCACGCUUAGUUUUAAUGCUAGCUUAACCCCGUUAGUGCCAUUGCCUUCCACUUUUCUGGAUAAAUAUGCUUGCCGCAGUAUACAAAUGAUAACAUAUAGGCCAUAUGGUACCUUGCUGAUUCGAGAAGAGAUAUGCAUCGGGAUCAAAGAAAAUGAAGCAAAACAGUUCAGAAAUCAACCUCUGCUAAUAUGGAGGUUUCCCCCAACACCAUGGUGGAUGCCAUGGCCACACAGCCAUGUCAAUCAAUGA